Chrysemys picta bellii (western painted turtle) is the source of this 527-nucleotide non-coding RNA. NCBI's taxonomy places the organism in Eukaryota, Metazoa, Chordata, Testudines, Emydidae. The record is from RefSeq and is a predicted model, not a curated record.
GUCUCUUCAGGGACUAUCUCUCUGGACGCAUCUUGUGGUCCCCACCGGCAGAUGGAAGUUUGGCCAAGGGAAGACUGUCGCUGUGCCACUCGAGAGCCACACUCAGCUUCGGUAACAGGAUCAAGAUCUACCCCAUCUAUCUGGACGACAUCUUACACCUGAGUCAACGUCAUCUAACACCUGAGACAACCUCCCUAAUUCUGGUUCCAGAGUUGCUGUUUCCUGGUUCCUGUACUUGGAUGGUUCGGUGUUCCUCCUGCCCUCAGUCAUAAGGGCUGCGCAGUCAGUCAUAGGUCCAAGAUCCAAUGAACCUGAGCUGCAAGGACAGAUAUCACCAUCAGCUGCCUAAUCGAGACUAAGGUCAUCCGUCAUCACACAGUAUAUUUUGGAGUGUUUUGUUUAGGAUUUAUUCUGUUGGAAGUUAUUGCCAAACGGGUUGUGAGAGACCAGGCUUCAUGCCUACCUUUCUGGGGCAACCACAAUUGCAUGUUAUCGCUUCCUUAAUACAUCUUCUUCGUGUUUUUGAA